GCUUAUACUCGACCGUCAGCGGCACGUGCGAUCGCGCGCGCGCGCGAGCUUUCGAGCACACGCGCGCGCGCGCGGUCACGAAGCCCUGACGAGUAGGAGGGUCGCGGCGGUGAGCGCAGAAGGGCUGGCCGCGAGGCCGUCUGGAKCCGCCGUCGGUGCAGAUCUUGGUGGUAGUAGCAAAUACUCCAGCGAGGCCCUGGAGGACUGACGUGGAGAAGGGUUUCGUGUGAACAGCCGUUGCACACGAGUCAGUCGAUCCUAAGCCCUAGGCGAAAGCCGAUGUCGAUGCGGUGUAGUUUUUACGAUAACCAAAAAACGACGAAGACGAAAUAAAUAUUAAUUCGUCUCCUCGAAAUAACGCGAGAGCACACACCCGUCGGGCGAAAGGGAAUCCGGUUCCUAUUCCGGAACCUGGCAGCGGAACCGUCAAAAAGUCGGGC
RNAcentral lists this ribosomal RNA (440 nucleotides) under Echinodera bellieri. RNAcentral describes it as "eukaryotic LSU rRNA". It matches the Rfam family "Eukaryotic large subunit ribosomal RNA", at positions 1340 to 1664 of the family's 3401-position model. Lineage: Eukaryota; Metazoa; Arthropoda; Insecta; Coleoptera; Curculionidae. The record is from RNAcentral.